GACGAACGCUGGCGGCGCGCCUAACACAUGCAAGUCGAGCGAUGAAAUUUUAUCCGAUCUCUUCGGAGAGAAGAUAAAAUGGAUUAGCGGCGGACGGGUGAGUAACACGUGAGAAACCUGCCUUCCACAAGGGGAUAGCCUCGGCAAACCGGGUUUAAUACCCUAUGACACAUUUCCUUCGCAUGGAAUAAAUGUUAAAACUCCGGUGGUGAAAGAGGUUGUCGCGCGUGAUUAAUUAGUUGGCGGGGUAACGGCCCACCAAUGCAAGGAUCACUAACCGGGCAGAGAGGGUGGACGGUGACACUGGAGGGGGGAAACGGUCGAAAAUCUUAGGGGAGGGGGCAGUGGGGAAUAUUGCAAAGUGGAGGAAACGAUGAUGGAGCGAGGGCGGGUGAGCAAUGAAGGCGGUCGAGUAGUAAAGCGCUGUCAUAUGGGAAGAUAAUGACGGUACCAGAGGAGGAAGCCCCGGCUAACUACGUG
Molecule: ribosomal RNA, 480 nt
Filed under: uncultured bacterium
Lineage: Bacteria
Description: partial 16S ribosomal RNA
Rfam family: Bacterial small subunit ribosomal RNA
Source: RNAcentral